GAUGCCAGCAUGGGACUCCAGGGAAAGCCCAGAAGGAUAGAGGCUCAGAUUGCAGCUUGGCUCAGAGACCCUUCUCCCGCCUGCCACGUUCCUGGAAAGCUUGCCUGGGUCCCGCCUGCCACGCAUUCCUGGGCUUCCUGGCUGCUGAGCCCUGCAGCCUGCAGAGGCUCUGAUUACCACACCAGCUGAGGCUGUAACCAGCCUCAGAAGCAGAGGGUGCCUUGUCUCCAGACUAGACUAUGUCUCCAGAUGGCUGGAAUAUGGAAGAGCACGGUGGGCAGAGGAGGAGGGAGCCUCAACCUCUCAGGCCUACAUCCUGCUGGGACAGUUCCUUCUGAUGCACAAGAAUGAAGCAGAGUUCCAGAGGUGGAUCAUCUGCUGUUGCGGUGCCACAGAGCACGAAGCCCGCCAGAGCUCCACUUGCCUGAAGGAGUGGUG
Non-coding RNA from Cricetulus griseus (Chinese hamster), 438 nucleotides. The record is from RefSeq and is a predicted model, not a curated record. NCBI's taxonomy places the organism in Eukaryota, Metazoa, Chordata, Mammalia, Rodentia, Cricetidae.